RNAcentral lists this ribosomal RNA (406 nucleotides) under uncultured bacterium. Its description in RNAcentral is "partial 16S ribosomal RNA". It matches the Rfam family "Bacterial small subunit ribosomal RNA", at positions 30 to 526 of the family's 1533-position model. The record is from RNAcentral.
CUUGAACGCUGGCGGCAGGCCUAACACAUGCAAGUCGAACGAGUGGCGGACGGGUGAGUAAUGUCUGGGACACUGCCCGAUGGAGGGGGAUAACUACUGGAAACGGUAACUAAUACCGAAUACACUCGGAUGUGCCCAGCUAGGAUUAGCUAUUAGGUGGGGUAAAGGCUCACCUAGGCGACGAUCCCUAGCUGGUGUACAAGACUGACCAGCCUCAGUGUAGCGGAGACACGGUCCAGACGCAUAAGGGAGGCAGCAGUGGGGAAUAUGGGACAAUGUGCGGAAGCAUGAGGCAGCGAUGGCGAGUGUAUGAAGAAGGCUGUCGGGUUGUAAAGGACUUUCUGCUGUGAGGCGUUACCCGCAGAAGAAGCACCGGCUAACUCCGUGCCAGCCGCCGCGGUAAUAC